GACGAACGCUGGCGGCAGGCUUAACACAUGCAAGUCGAACGCAUCCUUCGGGGUGAGUGGCAGACGGGUGAGUAACACGUGGGAACAUACCUUUUGGUUCGGAAUAACUCAUGGAAACGUGAGCUAAUACCGGAUACGCCCUUUUGGGGAAAGAUUUAUUGCCGAAAGAUUGGCCCGCGUCUGAUUAGCUAGUUGGUGAGGUAAUGGCUCACCAAGGCGACGAUCAGUAGCUGGUCUGAGAGGAUGAUCAGCCACACUGGGACUGAGACACGGCCCAGACUCCUACGGGAGGCAGCAGUGGGGAAUAUUGGACAAUGGGCGCAAGCCUGAUCCAGCCAUGCCGCGUGAGUGAUGAAGGCCUUAGGGUUGUAAAGCUCUUUUAUCCGGGAAGAUAAUGACUGUACCGGAAGAAUAAGCCCCGGCUAACUUCGUGCCAGCCGCCGCUGUAA
RNAcentral lists this ribosomal RNA (449 nucleotides) under uncultured bacterium. Its description in RNAcentral is "partial 16S ribosomal RNA". It matches the Rfam family "Bacterial small subunit ribosomal RNA", at positions 28 to 523 of the family's 1533-position model. The record is from RNAcentral.